GCUUAACGCGAAGAACCUUACCAGGCCUUGACAUGCACUAGACCGACUCUGAAAGGAGUCUUCCCUUCGGGGCUGGUGCACAGGUGCUGCAUGGCUGUCGUCAGCUCGUGUCGUGAGAUGUUGCGUUAAGUCGCGCAACGAGCGCAACCCCUGUCCUUAGUUGCCAUCAGGUAAAGCUGGGCACUCUAGGGAGACAAACCCUCUCUGAGGGUGGGAAGGUGGGGAUGACGUCAAGUCAGGAUGGCCCUUACGGCCUGGGCUGCACACGUGCUACAAUGCCCGGUACAGAGGGACGCAAUACCGCGAGGCGGAGCAAAUCCCAAAAACCGGGCCCAGUUCAGAUUGCAGUCUGCAACUCGACUGCAUGAAGCCGGAAUCGCUAGUAAUGGCGUAUCAGCUACGACGCCGUGAAUACGUUCCCGGGUCUUGUACACACCG
Molecule: ribosomal RNA, 438 nt
Filed under: uncultured bacterium
Lineage: Bacteria
Description: bacterial SSU rRNA
Rfam family: Bacterial small subunit ribosomal RNA
Source: RNAcentral